UUUUAUGGAGAGUUUGAUCCUGGCUCAGGAUGAACGCUGGCGGCGUGCCUAAUACAUGCAAGUCGAGCGAACAGACGAGGAGCUUGCUCCUCUGACGUUAGCGGCGGACGGGUGAGUAACACGUG
This 125-nucleotide ribosomal RNA is filed under the name Staphylococcus epidermidis. RNAcentral's name for it is "partial 16S ribosomal RNA". It matches the Rfam family "Bacterial small subunit ribosomal RNA", at positions 1 to 119 of the family's 1533-position model. Lineage: Bacteria; Bacillati; Bacillota; Bacilli; Caryophanales; Staphylococcaceae. The record is from RNAcentral.